Physella acuta is the source of this 408-nucleotide long non-coding RNA. RefSeq lists it as uncharacterized. The record is from RefSeq and is a predicted model, not a curated record. Lineage: Eukaryota; Metazoa; Mollusca; Gastropoda; Physidae.
GGGAGUAGCAAUGGCCGCUAGAACCGUGGCAAUGUCAUACCGAGGAUAGUUUUUCAAGAACUCGUUUCUAUAAUUGUUUAACUUAAAGAACAGAAUGUGAAUGUAAGUGCCAUAUAAACUGACAGAGAUGGGUGUAACAGUGAGAAAAAGAAGACCAAACUCAGACAGGGACGAUACAAGGCCAACAACUUAAAAAUCAGGUGUGCCUGGAAUUUCAAGUAGCCCAUUCAUUAGAUGAUAGAAUACUUUUGUAUCUUUAUGUAAAUAUGUAUAUCAAGAUUAGAUGAACGCUCAAAUGUGAAAACAGAUUUAUCACUCCAGUGUUCAGGAAAGUUUUGUUUUCAGUAAGCUGUCAUAGUAACACCUAUUUAAAGGGAUAUGAUACUCAUUUUGUUAUCUUAAUCAGAU